GUCCAGUGGUUAGGACUCUGCGCUCCCAAUGCAGGGGGCCCAGGUUCGAAUCCUGG
Molecule: transfer RNA, 56 nt
Filed under: Bos taurus (domestic cattle)
Lineage: Eukaryota; Metazoa; Chordata; Mammalia; Artiodactyla; Bovidae
Also listed under: 1 other name
Rfam family: tRNA
About the family: Transfer RNA (tRNA) molecules are approximately 80 nucleotides in length. Their secondary structure includes four short double-helical elements and three loops (D, anti-codon, and T loops).
Source: Rfam by way of RNAcentral